GUCAAUAAGAUUUCUCGUGAUUGCGUAGCUUUGGCCAACAUUAAUAAUCUCUUAUGCAGCCAAAAACUGUUUAGCUGUUUAAGAAACGCACCUAAUAUCUAUUUUGAAGUGAUUCCCAUUUUCUAUGCCAGUACAGUUUAUAGGGCGACCAUUGAAUUGGCUCCCAAGAAACUAAAUAUUGAACUGUUUCCUAAUACAAUUUUAACCAAAUGGUUCU
Molecule: non-coding RNA, 217 nt
Organism: Cinara cedri
Lineage: Eukaryota; Metazoa; Arthropoda; Insecta; Hemiptera; Aphididae
Source: the annotation of a GenBank genome assembly